GACGACGCUGGCGGCGUGCCUAACACAUGCAAGUCGAACGAAGCAUAGCAAUAUGCUUAGUGGCGGACGGGUGAGUAACGCGUGAACAAUCUGCCCUGUACAAAGGAAUAGCCUCGGGAAACCGGGAUUAAAACCGUAUGACACUUUAGUAUCGCAUGAUAAGAAAGUCAAAUCGAUUAGAGGUAUGGGAUGAGUUCGCGUCUGAUUAGCUGGUUGGCGGGGUAACGGCCCACCAAGGCGACGAUCAGUAGCCGGCCUGAGAGGGUGAACGGCCACACUGGAACUGAGACACGGUCCAGACUCCUACGGGAGGCAGCAGUGGGGAAUAUUGCACAAUGGAGGGAACUCUGAUGCAGCGACGCCGCGUGAGUGAAGAAGGUCUUCGGAUCGUAAAACUCUGUCCUUGGUGAAGAAAAGGACGGUAGCCAAGGAGGAAGCCCCGGCUAACUACGUG
RNAcentral lists this ribosomal RNA (454 nucleotides) under uncultured bacterium. Its description in RNAcentral is "bacterial SSU rRNA". It matches the Rfam family "Bacterial small subunit ribosomal RNA", at positions 33 to 507 of the family's 1533-position model. The record is from RNAcentral.